CUGCUGCCUCCCGUAGGAGUCUGGUCCGUGUCUCAGUACCAGUGUGGGGGACCUUCCUCUCAGAACCCCUACGCAUCGUCGUCUUGGUGGUCCGUUACACCGCCAACUAACUAAUGCGACGCAUGCCCAUCCGCCACCGGAAUUAACCUUUGGCACCAACAGGAUGUCCCGUCGAUGCAUUAUGCCGUAUUAGACGGAAUUUCUCCCGAUUAUCCGGCUGUGGCAGGCAGGUUGCAUACGUGUUACUCACCCGUGCCG
Molecule: ribosomal RNA, 258 nt
Filed under: uncultured bacterium
Lineage: Bacteria
Description: partial 16S ribosomal RNA
Source: RNAcentral